RNAcentral lists this ribosomal RNA (518 nucleotides) under uncultured bacterium. RNAcentral describes it as "bacterial SSU rRNA". It matches the Rfam family "Bacterial small subunit ribosomal RNA", at positions 149 to 654 of the family's 1533-position model. The record is from RNAcentral.
ACCGGAAACGGUAGCUAAUACCGAAUAGUUGUUUUCUUCUCCUGAAGAGAACUGGAAAGACGGAGCAAUCUGUCACUUGGGGAUGGGCCUGCGGCGCAUUAGCUAGUUGGUGGGGUAACGGCUCACCAAGGCGACGAUGCGUAGCCGACCUGAGAGGGUGAUCGGCCACACUGGGACUGAGACACGGCCCAGACUCCUACGGGAGGCAGCAGUAGGGAAUCUUCCGCAAUGGGCGAAAGCCUGACGGAGCAAUGCCGCGUGAGUGAUGAAGGUUUUCGGAUCGUAAAGCUCUGUUGCCAGGGAAGAACGCUUGGGAGAGUAACUGCUCUCAAGGUGACGGUACCUGAGAAGAAAGCCCCGGCUAACUACGUGCCAGCAGCCGCGGUAAUACGUAGGGGGCAAGCGUUGUCCGGAAUUAUUGGGCGUAAAGCGCGCGCAGGCGGUCAUUUAAGUCUGGUGUUUAAUCCCGGGGCUCAACCCCGGAUCGCACUGGAAACUGGGUGACUUGAGUGCAGAAG